UACGGAGGAUGCAAGCGUUAUCCGGAUUUAUUGGGUUUAAAGGGUGCGUAGGCGGGCUGGUAAGUCAGCGGUGAAACGCAGGUGCUCAACACCUGACCUGCCGUUGAAACUGCCGGUCUUGAAUGCGGAUGCUGUGGGAGGAAUGUGUGGUGUAGCGGUGAAAUGCAUAGAUAUCACACAGAACACCGAUUGCGAAGGCAUCUCACAAAUCCGUGAUUGACGCUGAGGCACGAAAGUGCGGGGAU
Molecule: ribosomal RNA, 245 nt
Filed under: uncultured Falsiporphyromonas sp.
Lineage: Bacteria; Pseudomonadati; Bacteroidota; Bacteroidia; Bacteroidales; Porphyromonadaceae
Description: partial 16S ribosomal RNA
Rfam family: Bacterial small subunit ribosomal RNA
Source: RNAcentral